UGGGGAAUAUUGCACAAUGGGGGAAACCCUGAUGCAGCGACGCCGCGUGGAGGAAGAAGGUCUUCGGAUUGUAAACUCCUGUUGUUGAGGAAGAUAAUGACGGUACUCAACAAGGAAGUGACGGCUAACUACGUGCCAGCAGCCGCGGUAAAACGUAGGUCACAAGCGUUGUCCGGAAUUACUGGGUGUAAAGGGAGCGCAGGCGGGAGAACAAGUUGGAAGUGAAAUCCAUGGGCUCAACCCAUGAACUGCUUUCAAAACUGUUUUUCUUGAGUAGUGCAGAGGUAGGCGGAAUUCCCGGUGUAGCGGUGGAAUGCGUAGAUAUCGGGAGGAACACCAGUGGCGAAGGCGGCCUACUGGGCACCAACUGACGCUGAGGCUCGAAAGUGUGGGUAGCAAACAGGAUUAGAUACCCUGGUAGUCCACACCGUAAACGAUGAUUACUAGGUGUUGGAGGAUUGACCCCUUCAGUGCCGCAGUUAACACAAUAAGUAAUCCACCUGGGGAGUACGACCGCAAGGUUGAAACUCAAAGGAAUUGACGGGGGCCCGCACAAGCAGUGGAGUAUGUGGUUUAAUUCGAAGCAACGCGAAGAACCUUACCAGGUCUUGACAUCCGAUGCAUAGCACAGAGAUGUGUGAAAUCCUUCGGGACAUCGAGACAGGUGGUGCAUGGUUGUCGUCAGCUCGUGUCGUGAGAUGUUGGGUUAAGUCCCGCAACGAGCGCAACCCUUAUUGCCAGUUACUACGUUAAGAGGACUCUGGCGAGACUGCCGUUGACAAAACGGAGGAAGGUGGGGAUGACGUCAAAUCAUCAUGCCCUUUAUGACCUGGGCUACACACGUACUACAAUGGCGUUAAACAAAGAGAAGCAAGACCGCGAGGUGGAGCAAAACUCAAAAACAACGUCUCAGUUCAGAUUGCAGGCUGCAACUCGCCUGCAUGAAGUCGGAAUUGCUAGUAAUCGCGGAUCAGAAUGCUGCGGUGAAUACGUUCCC
This 997-nucleotide ribosomal RNA is filed under the name uncultured bacterium. RNAcentral describes it as "bacterial SSU rRNA". It matches the Rfam family "Bacterial small subunit ribosomal RNA", at positions 355 to 1375 of the family's 1533-position model. The record is from RNAcentral.